GCGGCCGUCGUCUAGCCUGGUCUAGGACCCUAGCCUCCCGAGCUAGUGGCCCGGGUUCAAAUCCCGGCGGCCGCA
Molecule: transfer RNA, 75 nt
Filed under: Thermoprotei archaeon
Lineage: Archaea; Thermoproteati; Thermoproteota; Thermoprotei
Description: tRNA-Gly
Rfam family: tRNA
About the family: Transfer RNA (tRNA) molecules are approximately 80 nucleotides in length. Their secondary structure includes four short double-helical elements and three loops (D, anti-codon, and T loops).
Source: RNAcentral